AAUAUCCUGCGGUGUGCGUUACGUUUUCGGUUAUAAACCCACAAAGUAACUUCGGGAGCGUUUCGUUGAGAAGACAAGGUCAGGCCCGUUACGGAUGGGAAGACCGCGGCGAUCACGGCGUACCCACCUGCCGAGAGGCGGGUGUUAUAAAGAAAGCGAACGGCACUUCGGGAUACUC
Molecule: non-coding RNA, 178 nt
Organism: Clostridiales bacterium 43-6
Lineage: Bacteria; Bacillati; Bacillota; Clostridia; Eubacteriales
Source: Rfam